UACGUAGGGGGCAAGCGUUAUCCGGAAUUACUGGGUGUAAAGGGAGCGUAGACGGUGAUGUAAGUCUGGAGUGAAAGGCGGGGGCCCAACCCCCGGACUGCUCUGGAAACUAUGUGACUGGAGUGCAGGAGAGGUGAGCGGAAUUCCUAGUGUAGCGGUGAAAUGCGUAGAUAUUAGGAGGAACACCAGUGGCGAAGGCGGCUCACUGGACUGUAACUGACGUUGAGGCUCGAAAGCGUGGGAGCAAACAGG
RNAcentral lists this ribosomal RNA (252 nucleotides) under uncultured bacterium. RNAcentral's name for it is "partial 16S ribosomal RNA". It matches the Rfam family "Bacterial small subunit ribosomal RNA", at positions 524 to 776 of the family's 1533-position model. The record is from RNAcentral.